CGUGAGACAGCCUCGUCCGAGAGGGCCC
Molecule: small RNA, 28 nt
Filed under: Bombyx mori (domestic silkworm)
Lineage: Eukaryota; Metazoa; Arthropoda; Insecta; Lepidoptera; Bombycidae
Description: ovarian small RNA-14570
Source: RNAcentral